UAACAGUGUCUUUUAUUUGCCCGUUGAGUUGUAUGUUCAUGUUUGUUCCUGUAAUCCUCGAAAUGCUGUACUUCGUACACACCAUUUCGUCUUUGCAGUGUGUGUCACCACAAGAUAAGAAAAUGAAACUGAAGUUUCUGUCACUGGCCAACCGAAGCUGGGACUGCAAGACUUUUUCACUCUGUAAAUAUUAGCCAGCUAUUUGAAGCCAUGCUGUCCAUGAAGAAUAUUAACUAUGUACCAGGAAUCAAGCCAUAAUGUAAACCCAGUUUGUUUGGCAAAAACAGUACAUAUUGUUCUGCUCCAAGGGGAGAAACACGGGGGCGGGAAAACCUAGCUCCUCCCAAAACGACGAUAUUUGUAAGUUAGAAUGUUCGGUCGUACUAAUUGCAGGAGCAAAACCAAUAAUACGAGCAAAACUGCAUUGAUGAGGGUGUCAUGUGGUCCAAGGCCACCCUCAAAACCAGAUUUGCUGUUUACUGAUCAGCAAAGGACGGAGCCAGAUGUGAGGCGAAGCAGUUUGCUACCCUCCAGAACACACCUGGCUCCCUGAGACUGAGUACACUCUACAUGCCUGAGCAGAUCCAGUAUUUUAUUAUAUUACUAGUUUGUCUUUACUGGUCUUUGUAUGAAGUGAGAAGUAGCUCAGCAAGGUCUACAGGCUGUUAGCGAGAAGUUGCCUGUGAGACCCCCCCAUGCUGGUGAGCUGUGGGGACGCUCCACACUCUGAGCAAUUCUUGAAACAGCUCAUUAAGAGUGGCACAGAAUUGCCCACUGAAUCUGUCCUUGGGCUCUCUAAUGAAAAGUUGGUUAUUAUUACAGGAAUUUUAGUAUUGCAGGAAUAUUACAGAGUGAGGAUUUAUCUGUGCCUGCAAAAGCACGCUUCAUACGUGUCUUCUUGAAACCACCUCCUAUUGAAAGCAUAUCUUUGCUGAAAUCAUUAGUUAGAAAUAUUUCUAGUACAACUAUGUCCCACCUCUUCUUAUCUCAGUUGACACAGCUGUCGGUUAAAGUUGGUUAUUUGGGGUUUUUUUACAGAUGCAUAUAGGGGUUUUGCUGAUAUAAAACCCACACUGAAAAGCCUCUAGACUAGACCUACAUGUAGCACACCUGGCCUGAGAAUCACCAGCAACUGAUAAUUAAAGAUGUUUUGCUGGAUAGUUGUGAAGUUAUAGUAUGACCUGAGAAAAUAUAUCAAGCUUUGCAAGACAGUCCUGGCAGCUUGUAAUUUCCGUAACAUUUUCAUUGUGAUGAGUUCAUCUUUACAAGAAGGCAGACAGACUGCAAACAGCAAUGAGCCAGGAUCAAAGGCUAACAACAGGGAAGAAAGUGUUGAAUCCACAUAUUCCCGCCUUUGUCAAUCUACACUAAAUACCAUGGCAUAAAAACCAGAUCUGUGAAAUAUUUUGGACAAUAUUAUCAAACCCAGUAUUUGGUAUGUGGAUAUAACACCCAAAGGUGUGACAGAAGGCUUUUGGGAAGCACAUCUUUAUUUACACUGACUGUAACUAGCUGGGCUACCGGUAAGAGCCUGACCACAGCAGCUUGUGUUCCUGGUGCUAAAGACUUGCCAAGUUCCCACAAAGGCUUGUAUAGUCUUUCAAAAUCCCACGUUGUCACAGCUAGAUUGUUACUGGUACCCGAGUUGACGUGCCACCAGCUCACCCUCUGAAAUGACAUCUUGGUGGGUCUUGGAAGAUUGAAGGACGCGAAACCCAGAUAUAUUUUACUCUGGCACUUCUGUGUCAUCUUCAGCUACCCAGGCAGAUAUUUGCUACUGUUCUAUGUUACCUGUGACUGGACAACGUUUUGCUGGGCAAGAUUCUGGGUUGCUACAGAAAGUGUCUCUGCAGAUCCAUUCAAUCAAGCAAGGCUCCAGUGACAAGACUCAAGGAACAUAAAUAAUUCACAUUUUUGCUGGGCUGCUCUCUGUGCCUUUCCUACAAGCAGACUGGCGGCUCAAAGGAAAGCAGCUGUGAUGAGCUGGAACUCAUACUAGAGAGUUAAAGGCUGGACAAGAAAAUCCAUGCAUGGGUCAGAAAAAACUAUUUUUGCAGUCACAUGAGCUUCUGUGGUCAUUAAAUAAAAUUGUUGCUAGCUCAACUGCAGAAACGCUUCCGAGAAACACAUCUGUCCUUAUCCCAGGCUGGACAGCCCUCCUGUAUAAAAUAAUAAAAAAAAAAAAAAAUAAAGACCCACAGUGGGCCGGACUCUGCAUCCACUUACACUGGAGUAACCAUACAGAGGGUGGGGGGACUGCAGCAUUAUCAGCGCACGAUCUUUUGUUAUCCGGACUCUUCCCCCAUUCUUAAACAGGAUUUUCCUGUUGCUGUGUGUGGGCUGGAAGGUUUAACUGCAGCCUGACUCUUCCUACUGCUAUGACUGCAGUUGUCUCCUGGGAAUCUUUAUGGAUAUUGAGUAAGGAGGCAUAAACCUGCCCGGCAGAGUAGUAUUGGCGCUCUGCAAACCCAGCCUUUCUAGGGGGCAGCUGUCUUCAUCGCCAAAGAGCCAAGUGAGCAACCGUCCCCCUCAACCCUUUACAUUAAGGAACAGUUUUUGACUUAAGCCUAUUUCGUCUCUUAUAAGAAGAUUAAAAGAAUUAAAGGGAAACCCAGUGACCCGUUCAGUGCAUUUAAUAUUAAGCCUAUGACACAUAGUUUCAUUUUGCACAGGGCCAGAAUAAGCAGAAGGACAUGAUUAUACACCUUUUAUGCUGCUCUUGAGGACUUCCAAGCCAGAAUGCCCUGCCUGCAUCCAUCUCCAGAGAAUCCCCAAAGCUAUGUAGCUGCAUACACGUGCCAUCAUCCACUGUUCUUGGAAAAAACAUCCUAUUUGAGUUGUAGCAGAGUAAUUAUUUCAAUAUAUGAAGAGGAGAGCUACCCUGGAUAUGCUGCAAAGGUUUUGAGGAGGUGGAAUGCGCCUGGGGCAUGAGUGGGAUGGGGCAUGUGAAGCCAUGGCCCCCUGCAAACCCUGUCCAAGGGCUCCUGCACAAGGGCUGGGCAAACCAGCACUUCCUUCAUCCAUGAUCCGGGUAGAUCCCGCUCCUCACAUCAGUGCAAUGGUGGCACAUUGGUGUAGGGGGCACGGAGGGGACAGGGGAUAUGGCCUUGAAAGCGGGGCCCUGCAGUGGAUCUGUGCCUGACAGCCUGCUCCCCAAGGCUGCAAGAGAAAAUGACAAAAGCACGGUGACUUCUUCGCACCGGGUGGUGCCUAAAGCCCUCGCCUUUCCAGCUGAGCCCCAGUAAUGCCGAACUGUAGUUUUUUUAAGGACUCCAUAGACACUACAGUAAAACAAUUCACUGGCUGACCUAAGCGGGGAUGUUUAAAGAAGUGCUCACAAUGUUCUUCUUCAAGCCCAUCAUAAAAGUCCCAGGCUAAUUCCCAAGUGCUUUUACAAUCCAUUUGCCUGAGUUGCUAGCAGGGAAAAAACUCCCAACUACAGUUUAUCUGCACGCUGUAGGAACAUACAGCUGCUUAAUAUCCCUCUCUGUUUGCAGCACCGUGUUUGUCCAAAAAAUACUUACAGUAAAUAUUGCCAAUCAUAAACAAUCCGUCAUGAAUUACCAAACUGUUUUCUUCACAUUGGGAGCAGCUGGUGUAUUGGGAUACUCUGCGAGAAUCACUGCUUGGAGAUGUGCCAUGUGAGCUAGGAACUGGGACGGGUUACUGGCCUGGUCUUGCUUUGAGUUGGGUUUAUGUGAGACAAUACCGUGUUUGGGUAGCUUGGCAUCGUUUUAAAUAUGUUUAGACAAAGGGUGAAAGUCGUGUAUUUCUGUGUCUAAUUAACCACUCCAGCACUGUGCAAGGAACCAGAAUUUAGCCCCACAAUAAAACCAACCCUCGAUAAUCCAUAUAUAUAUAUGUAUAUAUAUAUAGUCUAUGUUUUAUAUGAUUUAGGCUGCAAUUUCAGUUAAGUCAAUAAAUUAGCAGAUUCAAAUUAUCCAGUCACCGAGUUAAUACGGCAGAUAACCAGAAUAUAUACAUACUGAUGAGCUGGUGAACUGCAGCAGAGCUCAGCAGUAAGCAGGCGCCUUAGCAGGUUGCUUCAGUAAAAUCUUUUUAGAUUCUAUCUGCUUUUUCUUCCUGGUAGCAGAAAUUCUGCCUUCUCCUUUUGCCCUUUCCCCCCCUCGCCGCUUCUGUCACAGGAAUAAGGAAGUGCACAGGUACCCAUUCGUUUCGCUCAUGGAACACCACAAAAAUUACACACCACUACGUAAAUAAGUAGAGGGGCAGCAAAUAUGCUUUCUUCAAGCUCUGCGUCUGUUAUAAAGGGCCCCACAAGCAUUGAAAAGUGGAAAAAUCAGACUGAUGCAGCCCAAGAAGUUAGCUCUGCUGAGUCUUUCUCCUUUGCCUUGCCCUUAUAUCGCUCUUUACCUCUGUACUCAGCUUGCGUAAAUGUGAAUGAUCGGGAGAGCAACUCAAUGCUUCCAGGCCAAAGUUUAGGAAUGGGUUUAAAUUCAGAUCACAAUGUUUUGCAAUUUACUCUUGCCUUGUAAGUGUGCAAAUCAAUACACUAAGCGUAGGGCAGCGAAAUGCCGUUUGCAGCAAUUAACAUUAUAAUCCUGCAAGACAGUUAAAGGCAGGCAAAUUAUUUUGAUGGUAAUAAACACAUGUAAUGAUAUCAGCACUCUCUGGUGAAGUCACCAGAUCUUUGAGGUGGACCUACCUCCGGUUUUCCCUUGAAACAAAUGUCCCAAAAGACAAAUAUCUUAACUCUAGAAAUCAGAUUUUAUUAGAACAUAAAGGGAUACUUUUUUUUUUAAAGAAAUAAAGAACACUUCAAGUGAGGCAGAACAGAAAGUUUCUAAAUUAACUCCUUGUAGGGCAGGUUCUUUCUUUCAAAUGCUUCUCUCUGUCCCAUCCUGCUCUUUAAGGUGGUUCACCCAACUCAUUGUGCUUAGCAGCACCGAAGCAAAGCAUCUCGCCCCCUUUCCAUGGGUCCAGCCGUGGCUGCAGCAUCCAAGACAAGAGAGAGGCAGCCUUCCUCCCUGGUGCCAAACAACGCCCUGCGUGUUUUAUUAUAUAUCAUGUUCCAGGGAACAUGAUGCAUAGUAAAAAUGAGCAGAACAGGUACUACCCCUGCAGGCUGAAAUAGGAGGCCCCAUGGCUGUGGCUGCUUUGCCCUGCAGCAGUGGGUUAGAUGCUCUACUUUGUCCUGUUUCAAAUCGGGUAUCCAGGUAGGCAGGUCUUCACCAUAGGUGAAUGUAUUUGGCAAUUUUGUGUCUUGUGUUGCCUUGUGCAGGUUGUGAAGGAACUCUAGCAAAUCCAUAGCACAUAAGCAUAAUUUAUAACCAGCUACAUUCUCAGUAUUGCAAGGUAGAUAACUAUCACGGUCUUUGUUACCCGGGGUGUUGCAGCCUGGGUAACGUAAGGGAUGUUAGGUAUUCACUUGGAGACAGACGCAAGAGGCUGGUGAUUUCACACCAGAGCUUCUGUGUGCCUUCAGAGUUUGUGACCCAGGUGGAGGUCUGAUGAAGUAAACACCUCUCGUGUCCCAUGUGUGGGUUGCGUAAAAGGGAUGGGUGCAUAAACAUGAAUCUCACAAAGCACAUUACUUACCUAAUUUACGUACAGUUUCACCAAACUGAUUAAAACCAAAGCAGUGCUCUGUAUUUUACAUGAUUUAGGCUGCAAUUUCAGUUAAGUCAAUAAAUUAGCAGAUUUGAAUUAUCCAAGUUAACACAGCAGAUAACCAGAUUACAUAAUGAAAGAAGUAAUUCUUUUUUUUAACCUUAUCUUACAAUUUAAUGAAGGCCUAUUUUUCUUUUAAGCAGAAAAACCUAGCUACUAUUUAGCUAAUAAUGUAUUGACAUAGUUAACAUGUCACUGGCGGACCCUGUCAUUACUGGGCAUAGGUGGCUGUUGAAUAUUGAGUGUAUAUUUUGGUCUUAGGUCAGAUAAAUGAUCCAAGCAGCCAAGAAUUGUACCCGUGCUCAGCUCAGUGAAGUACAGUUAUACAGAUGCCUGUGUCACAUCUUUAAACCUCCCUGUUAAUAAACGUUAGCAGUUUUAUGUUGUUCUUUGCCAUCACUAUGCAAUAACACAGGAUCUUUUUGAAGAUUUAACAUGUAGAUAGAUGAUGGCUGAAUCAUCGCCAACAGCAGUUUGCAAAUAGCACUGGCUUUUUCACUGAGAAGAACAUACCAGUGACAGCGUGCUUUCCAUUUUUAGCAACUCAAAAUGACACGGUUCACCCUCCUCCUCUCUAACUGUGGCUUAAUGACACAAUAAAUCCAGCAUUAGGGUCUUUAGUAUCUGACCAGAUAUGCCCUAACCCACUAUGCAAGGUGCAGACCCAGCUUUCACUCAUCCUGUCAGUUAAAAUUUCUUGAAAAGUUUUGUUAAUGUUGUACUGCCACACUUAAUGCGAUUACAGCUACUGUCUCCCUGUGCCAUUUUCACUUUAUGUCAGAUCAGAUAGCAGCUAUCAGCUAUUAUAAAGCUCACAUGAACUCCAUACCAUAGAUGCUUAAUAAUUCAAUGGAAACGUGGCCACGUGCCCACACCUAACUGGAACCAAACCCAUAUGCUUGGGGAUCUGCUAGUGCAUGGAUCCAGUAAUAAAAAUGAUGGAAGCAGUCUUACACAUGCACUGCACACACACUAAAAAUAAGACAUGCUUUCACUGAGAAAAAGUUAAAAAUAAAAAGAUAAGACAGCUCUUUAAUUUUUUAGGAUCUGGCUCCUUAAGGUCACUCUGGGAUUUUACCAAACUGGGUGUUCUUCCAUAAGCAUGAAAGGCAGAGUGCAUAAGAGCCUUGGCUGAGAAAACUUAGCCCUGGCUUCUAGCUGAGAUUGCCAGUGCAAGACCUACAUCAGUAUCAAUUUUGUCUAAUAAAAAUAAUUAAAAUUUCUUUGGCACAGUAUUUCUUUACAUCCCUACUUUUCUUGUCAAUCACUGUCAUAUACUCAGCAUUUUUUAGGCACUCCAGAUUUUUGCUGUGAAGAAACAGAAGAAGUAAUAAUUUUUGGGCCCCUCAGUUCAAGAAGGAUAUCGAGUUGCUG
This is a long non-coding RNA of Egretta garzetta (little egret), 7005 nucleotides long. RefSeq lists it as uncharacterized. Lineage: Eukaryota; Metazoa; Chordata; Aves; Pelecaniformes; Ardeidae. The record is from RefSeq and is a predicted model, not a curated record. The transcript has 3 exons.